RNAcentral lists this ribosomal RNA (1376 nucleotides) under Campylobacter jejuni. Its description in RNAcentral is "partial 23S ribosomal RNA". It matches the Rfam family "Bacterial large subunit ribosomal RNA", at positions 1560 to 2925 of the family's 2925-position model. Lineage: Bacteria; Pseudomonadati; Campylobacterota; Epsilonproteobacteria; Campylobacterales; Campylobacteraceae. The record is from RNAcentral.
GCUUUUUGAAGUCUUCGGAUGGAUAGAAGAACCCCUGAUGCCGUCGAGCCAAGAAAAGUUUCUAAGUUUAGCUAAUGUUGCCCGUACCGUAAACCGACACAGGUGGGUGGGAUGAGUAUUCUAAGGCGCGUGGAAGAACUCUCUUUAAGGAACUCUGCAAAAUAGCACCGUAUCUUCGGUAUAAGGUGUGGUUAGCUUUGUAUUAGGAUUUACUCCGAAAGCAAGGAAACUUACAACAAAGAGUCCCUCCCGACUGUUUACCAAAAACACAGCACUCUGCUAACUCGUAAGAGGAUGUAUAGGGUGUGACGCCUGCCCGGUGCUCGAAGGUUAAUUGAUGGGGUUAGCAUUAGCGAAGCUCUUGAUCGAAGCCCGAGUAAACGGCGGCCGUAACUAUAACGGUCCUAAGGUAGCGAAAUUCCUUGUCGGUUAAAUACCGACCUGCAUGAAUGGCGUAACGAGAUGGGAGCUGUCUCAAAGAGGGAUCCAGUGAAAUUGUAGUGGAGGUGAAAAUUCCUCCUACCCGCGGCAAGACGGAAAGACCCCGUGGACCUUUACUACAGCUUGACACUGCUACUUGGAUAAGAAUGUGCAGGAUAGGUGGGAGGCUUUGAGUAUAUGACGCCAGUUGUAUAUGAGCCAUUGUUGAGAUACCACUCUUUCUUAUUUGGGUAGCUAACCAGCUUGAGUUAUCCUCAAGUGGGACAAUGUCUGGUGGGUAGUUUGACUGGGGCGGUCGCCUCCCAAAUAAUAACGGAGGCUUACAAAGGUUGGCUCAGAACGGUUGGAAAUCGUUCGUAGAGUAUAAAGGUAUAAGCCAGCUUAACUGCAAGACAUACAAGUCAAGCAGAGACGAAAGUCGGUCUUAGUGAUCCGGUGGUUCUGUGUGGAAGGGCCAUCGCUCAAAGGAUAAAAGGUACCCCGGGGAUAACAGGCUGAUCUCCCCCAAGAGCUCACAUCGACGGGGAGGUUUGGCACCUCGAUGUCGGCUCAUCGCAUCCUGGGGCUGGAGCAGGUCCCAAGGGUAUGGCUGUUCGCCAUUUAAAGCGGUACGCGAGCUGGGUUCAGAACGUCGUGAGACAGUUCGGUCCCUAUCUGCCGUGGGCGUAAGAAGAUUGAAGAGAUUUGACCCUAGUACGAGAGGACCGGGUUGAACAAACCACUGGUGUAGCUGUUGUUCUGCCAAGAGCAUCGCAGCGUAGCUAAGUUUGGAAAGGAUAAACGCUGAAAGCAUCUAAGCGUGAAGCCAACUCUAAGAUGAAUCUUCUCUAAGCUCUCUAGAAGACUACUAGUUUGAUAGGCUGGGUGUGUAAUGGAUGAAAGUCCUUUAGCUGACCAGUACUAAUAGAGCGUUUGGCUUAUCUUUAAUAAAGCAU